GCAAACUUGGUCAUUUAGAGGAAGUAAAAGUCAUAACAAGGUUUCCGUAGGUGAACCUGCGGAAGGAUCAUCCGAGAAUGUUGGUGGGAGCCCUGCCCACCAUUCCACACACACCGUGAAUCGUGGCUCCGGCCCAAACUUUUUUGUCCAGAACGUGAAAUAACUAUAAAACUAUACAACUUUCAACAACGGAUCUCUAGGCUCUCAUGUGUAUAAGAGACAGGCAAACUUGGUCAUUUAGAGGAAGUAAAAGUCAUAACAAGGUUUCCGUAGGUGAACCUGCGGAAGGAUCAUCCGAGAAUGUUGGUGGGAGCCCUGCCCACCAUUCCACACACACCGUGAAUCGUGGCUCCGGCCCAAACUUUUUUGUCCAGAACGUGAAAUAACUAUAAAACUAUACAACUUUCAACAACGGAUCUCUAGGCUCUCGCAUCGAUGAAGAACGCAGC
Molecule: unclassified non-coding RNA, 449 nt
Filed under: uncultured fungus
Lineage: Eukaryota; Fungi
Description: partial contains small subunit ribosomal RNA, internal transcribed spacer 1, and 5.8S ribosomal RNA
Rfam family: Eukaryotic small subunit ribosomal RNA (bases 1-73)
Source: RNAcentral